RNAcentral lists this ribosomal RNA (305 nucleotides) under uncultured bacterium. RNAcentral describes it as "bacterial SSU rRNA". It matches the Rfam family "Bacterial small subunit ribosomal RNA", at positions 335 to 655 of the family's 1533-position model. The record is from RNAcentral.
AUCCUACGGGAGGCAGCAGUGGGGAAUAUUGGGCAAUGGGCGCAAGCCUGACCCAGCAACGCCGCGUGAAGGAAGAAGGCCCUCGGGUUGUAAACUUCUUUUAUCAAGGACGAAACAAAUGACGGUACUUGAUGAAUAAGCCACGGCUAACUACGUGCCAGCAGCUGCGGUAAUACGUAGGUGGCAAGCGUUAUCCGGAUUUACUGGGUGUAAAGGGCGUGUAGCCGGGCCGGCAAGUCAGAUGUGAAAUCGCAAGGCUCAACCUUGGAACUGCAUUUGAAACUGUUGGUCUUGAGUAUCGGAGG